CUUACCGUCAGUUUGGCUGGAUCGGAGACAGGUGCUGCAUGGCUGUCGUCAGCUCGUGUCGUGAGAUGUUGGNUAAAUCCCGCAACGAGCGCAACCCUCGCUUUUAGUUGCCAUCAUUCAGUUGGGCACUCUAANGGGGACUGCCGGUGAUAAGCUGGAGGAAGGUGGGGAUGACGUCAAGUCCUCAUGGCCCUUACGGGCUGGGCUACACACGUGCUACAAUGGUGGUGACAGUGGGCAGCGAGACCGCGAGGUUGAGCUAAUCUCCAAAAACCAUCUCAGUUCGGAUUGCACUCUGCAACUCGGGUGCAUGAAGUUGGAAUCGCUAGUAAUCGUGGAUCAGCAUGCCACGGUGAAUACGUUCCCGGGCCUUGUACACACCGCCCGUCCCACCAUGGGAGUUGGCUUUACCCGAAGGUGCUGUGUAACCGCAAGGAGGCA
This 441-nucleotide ribosomal RNA is filed under the name uncultured Alphaproteobacteria bacterium. RNAcentral describes it as "bacterial SSU rRNA". It matches the Rfam family "Bacterial small subunit ribosomal RNA", at positions 1008 to 1451 of the family's 1533-position model. The record is from RNAcentral. Lineage: Bacteria; Pseudomonadati; Pseudomonadota; Alphaproteobacteria.